AACGUAGGAGGCAAGCGUUAUCCGGAUUUACUGGGCGUAAAGCGCAUGCAGGCGGUUUAGCAAGUCGGACGUAAAAGCUCCUGGCUCAACUGGGAGAGGCCGUUCGAGACUGUUAGACUUGAGGGUGGUAGAGGCGAGUGGAAUUCCCGGUGUAGUGGUGAAAUGCGUAGAUAUCGGGAGGAACACCAGUGGCGAAGGCGGCUCGCUGGGCCAUACCUGACGCUCAGAUGCGAAAGCUAGGGGAGAGAACGGG
RNAcentral lists this ribosomal RNA (253 nucleotides) under uncultured bacterium. RNAcentral describes it as "partial 16S ribosomal RNA". It matches the Rfam family "Bacterial small subunit ribosomal RNA", at positions 524 to 776 of the family's 1533-position model. The record is from RNAcentral.